CGUAGGGUGCGAGCGUUAAUCGGAAUUACUGGGCGUAAAGCGUGCGCAGGCGGUUUGUUAAGAUAGGCGUGAAAUCCCCGGGCUCAACCUGGGAACUGCGCUUAUGACUGGCAAGCUAGAGUACGGCAGAGGGGGUGGAAUUCCACGUGUAGCAGUGAAAUGCGUAGAGAUGUGGAGGAACACCAAUGGCGAAGGCAGCCCCCUGGGUCGAUACUGACGCUCAUGCACGAAAGCGUGGGUAGCAAACAGGAUUAGAUACCCUGGUAGUCCACGCCCUAAACGAUGUCAACUAGGCGUUGGGAGGGUAAAACCUUUUAGUACCGGAGCUAACGCGUGAAGUUGACCGCCUGGGGAGUACGGCCGCAAGGUUA
RNAcentral lists this ribosomal RNA (371 nucleotides) under uncultured organism. RNAcentral's name for it is "bacterial SSU rRNA". It matches the Rfam family "Bacterial small subunit ribosomal RNA", at positions 526 to 896 of the family's 1533-position model. The record is from RNAcentral.